UGCCAUGCUAGGCUCUAAAGGCAUAAACAAGUCAUGACCCUUCCCCCAGAGUCCUUGCAAGGAAAAGAACACCAAGGGAUUACAGGGCUGUGAAAGAUGGCCGUGGACCAUGUAGAAGCAGCAACCAGCCUUGUAGUGCUUAGGAGAAAGCUCCAGCCUGUGAUUCCUAAAGAUAUUCUACUGCGCACAGGGAAAGCGGGUGCGGGUCUUCAUUCUUAGAUUUUCCCUCUGGCGGCUGUCCCGGGAGCGGGUGAGCCCAGGUAGAAGGAGCUGGUGGCCAGGUGGGGCAGGUGCAGAGCAAAACAGCAGAACGUGGAGAGAGGGCACAGGAGGCUGAAGAGGAUCCAGUCCUGCAGACAGGAGGAAGUUGCCAGCGUGGCAAUUGGGUGGGGCUGCAGACCGUGAGGGCUGAUGCGGGUCAAAGUGCACCUGCUCCUGGGGAGGACCUGCCCCUGAGAGAGGCCCGAUGGUGCACAGCAGGCAGCCAGGGAGGCAGGCAUGUCGUCCUCAUCAUGCACAUGAGAACACAGAGAUGUGGGGGGGUGAGCGGCUGCUGCAGGCACUGCACUCCUCAUGUGGGAGCCCCGGGUGAUAGGAAGGACCACAGCCAUCCCGCCAAGGAGCUGGUGCUUUCUUCUGAAGGCAUCUGCGGAGCCCUAAGGUUGUGCAGCAAAGAAGGAGCAGACCUGUGUUCUUAGACUCACGAUCUGACAGCUACCCAGGCAGCAGACAAGCUGAUGCGAGAGAGGCAGAGCUCCACAGACAGCAAGAAGGGGACAUUAGAGGGACCGGUGACAGGCUGGAGAUGGGCACACAGGAGAAGCAGCCACCCAAGAAGGGAGGAGGAGCCAGAAACACCCAGCCAAGUCAACCAAGUGUUGGGUUCUCUGUAUCAGUCGAUUUGGCCAAUGAGGUGGGUACAAGACAGAAAAUAAAGAAGACAGAUUUGGAGGUCAGGGGAGGGGUUCUGCUGUGGGGUGGCUGAGGCUGGCUCCCCAGGUGCCAUGAACAGACCUGGCUCUCAAGAUCACCACCUGGGCCUCCAGAUUCCAUUGAAGCUUGGAAGGGAGCCAGCUCCCCGGUCCCCAUCCAAGGAGAAGGUGGGGCUUGGGAUGGCAGAAUGAGUCCCCCAAGGCCAGAAAGCUCCAGCCUGCAGUGGGGUGGACAGAGAGAGGGGGCGCUGGGAAGGAGUACACUGGGCCAGGCCUGCCAGAGGGGCACCAGGGAACCCAGGGCAGCACUGCCAGGGGAGUUGUGCCAGGAAAUUGCCUCGAGGGUUGAGCAGGCAAUGGGGCUCCCCAGAGAAGCCUUCCGGGUGCUGUGAGGUCUGAGAAGUAGGGUCCGUGGGUCAGAUCCCAAGGGCAGCAUGGUUAGGCCCUGCUCGUUUAAAGAGCAAUCCUGAGGGAAGAAGGGAAGUGAAAAGAGGGGCAUCACAGAGAUAGGAAGACAUUCAGGCACUCUUACUGCAAAGAGAAGCAAUGACUGGCCACAGUUUCAUAGGGACUGAGUGGGAGACAGAAAUUUCUGGUGAGAGAGAUGUCAAGAGGAAAGAGCUGGCAGUGAGAUGAAUAUUUCAGAUAUGAAUGGACAAGGCAGGGGCCCGGGCUCCCGGGGAGGGCGGGCUUUCUUCCCUAUAGCCCACAUGGGAGAAGAGGCCAGGAGGACCAGGUGAGCAAGCGAGAGAGCUCUGCCCCUGGGGGCUCGGCUUUGAGCGGAGGGAGAGGUUGCUGGGAGCUGCAGCUGGGGACGUGGUAGGAAGUAGGCUGAGGAGACCGUGGGUGUUGCCAUCAGUACGAGAGGGAGGAGGAUGUGGAGCUGGCCGGGCACUAAAGAAAGACUUUCAGGCAACCCUGGGGAUGAAGAACGGUCAGCAGCCUCCUGAGCAGAGGCGGCACAGGACUAGGUUGGGUGCCCAGGUGCUGCCAACACAGCUCAGAGGAAGAGGAGUCAGGAGUCCUGUGUGGCCGUGGGAAGGGAUACCCUACACCACAGACCAACCUCAAGGUGACUAAGCAGAGCACAUAGGACAGGCAACAGGGACAGAAGAGGCUCAGCACAGCAUUCCUCAGGAAAGAGGGCGACUGCCCCAGAGCUGGGGAGUCCUGGGACCACAGCCUGCAGCAUGAGACAGUGACAUUAGACAGGAGCCAUGCAGGAGCUACUCUGGGCACCCUUGGCCUUACUACUCCCAGAUCCCCUGCCAACAGCUUCGCUGACUCAGUGCGGAGCCUACUUGGCUGCAGGCUGCACGCUGUGGUCUCCAGAGCUGCAUCUUAAAGACAGAUGUGGUCAGGGCCACCAGGGUAUAGUCACCCCCGGCCCCUCGCCUUGGCUUCUUUCUCCAGCGGCUCUGCAGUGGCCCCUUCUCACUCCCACUUCUUGCUCUUGGAUCCUGCUAGCUCUUGGCUCCCCUGACCCAUCCCGGCCUGACUGUCCAGUUUCACCCCAGUUGUACUCAGUGCUUCAAUCUGAACAUUGAGCCCCUGAUGUCCCUGGGCUGUGAUGAACAGACAGGCAGUUGUGGGGAGGAAGCCUGUCCUUUCCUUCCCUCUCUACAGCCACAGUGCAGUGUUGCCUGUCCUCUGCCCGUGCACCCACUUCCACAGGUAGGGCAUGAGCAGUUCCUGCCCUCAUGUACCCCCCCAGCUGACUCAGCGAUGACAGCUAUCACUGUGCCGGGCCCCAGGGAGGGAAAUUCAGAGUCAAUUGCAGGUGCCAACAAAAUGUGAAGCGGGCAUUAUUUUCACCUUAGUCUCAGAAAGGAGGCUCAGAGAAGUCGAGCAACCUUUCUCUGUGUCACAUAGCUUGCAAGUAGCAGGGCCGAGACUCAAGCCAGCCCUCUCUACUACCAAAGCCAAGCAUCAUGGCCUCUCGGGCUCCACCUAACUUGAAGGACUGAGGGUGUACUCACAAUGCCAUCCAUCCACCAUGGAAGCAUUUACUAGACUCCCCAUGCUGCUUCGAGCUGUAGAAUGACUAUAUUUAGCAUAAACAGGAAAAGGUUCAGAUGAGCUGAGGCAUUAGGCAGAUGGGUUGCAAUGGGACUCAUUCUUAUGCAAUCUUCAGAUUGCCUUCUACAGCUGGAAGGACCCCACGAACUUUGCCUAUCUCCUUCUCUUGUUCUCCUUUAUAGAAGCACAGAAAGGGUGGGGUACAACCCUUUUCUCAUCUACCUACUGGCUGUGACCUAAAGAACAGUCCUAGGGGCUCCCUGUACUCAGCACCCUGCAGAGGCCUUCUGGACCUUUUCAAAGCAUCUCCAAGAAUGUUCUACUUCUUUCAUUGCUGGGAUAAAGAUUCAGGUGGGCUGCAUCUUGGGACACUUGCUGUGCCUUUGUUCUGCCUCAACGCCCACUGACCUUUAUCACCAUUGCCAGCCAGUCCCACCCACACAGGCGGCUGCCGGAUUCCAUCAUGCUCUUGAACUGGUGGACACUGAGCCAGGGAUAGAGGACCAGCAGGCAAACGACCACUGACAUGGCCAUGGUGUCAUGAAUCUCAUUGAAUCCUCUCGAGAAGUUUGUGUGAGAGCAAAGGCUGCUGGUGAGUAUGAGUGGAAGGCAGCAUGAGCAGAGGUGCCAAAGCUACCAAAAAAACUGAAGUGCAGGUCCUGGAGUGCUAUUGCCCUGGUCACUAGAGCCUGGCUGGGUGAUGGAGGGAUGGGCUCCACCUUGCUGGCAGCCAUGGGGAGGCCAGAACACUCUCAGCAGCUGCACAGCCAGGUCCUCCUCGGGCUCUGGAGGCCAAUCUGCCCUCAGGAUCUACAGUUUGGGGGCCCCUGUCCAUACAAUACAUCUUCUCAGAGCGCUCUGGCCCCUCCAUGGCUGCCAGCAAGGUGGAGGAAGUACAAUGAGGCAGGGCCCUUUCACGGGUCAGGGCCUUCAGGGGGAGGGUGACAGGGACCCCAACUCACUACACCCCUAGCACUCUGGGAUCUGCCCUUCUCUUUGCUGCCCAGCUGGGCAGGCCCCAGGCAAAGGCUGUCCACCAGUCCCUCGAAGCGUAAUGGGGACAGCAGACCCCUACUCCGCCAUGCUUUUCCAUGGAGACACAGUCAGCCCUUCUGCUUCCCUGACUCCCACUCAUUGUGACUGAUCUCCCUUCACCAUUUCUUCACUGGACCUGCCAAGUGGAAGCCCAGACUGGGAGUGGUCCCUCCAGGCUUGUCUUUACAUGGCAAGGUUGGGGUGAAAAUGGUCAAGAUGGGGAUUCCAUCAUGGUGGGCCACAGGAAGAGCAUUCUUGUGAGCUCCAAGGCAUUCACCCAGGUUAACAGUUGUAACAGAUCAGGGAAAAGACUCUAGAGUCAGGAGAGCCCCACCAUAGCUGGAAGCGGGAUGGCCAGCAACUGGAGAGCCAGAAGCUGGGGAAGAGCACAGUUGGUGUGGUAACAGUUCCCUGGCAGUGAAAGGGCUAAAAGGCCCCUGUGAAAGCCAGCCUGGCCAGCAGGUGCUGAGUAGUCACAAGACAGCACAGUGAGCCAGAGAAAAUAUAAAGAGAGACCUUUCUCCCGGUGAGAAGGGGGCCUUCCAUGAGGCCUAAGUAAAUAACCUGGUCAAGCUUGCAUCUUUGAUUUAGGUACAAGGCAGGUGUUCCCAGAAGAUUAACCAGGAACUGAGUUUUCAAGAAAGUGCAUUCCUGAGUUAUCUACACUGACAGAGACCCUUUCCCCUGUCUUCAAUCCUUGUAAAAGCCCCCACCUUUUCUUAUUCUAACAUUAGUAAUUCUUCCAACCAUGCUAAGAACUCACUCUGUAUGUUCAGGGUAAUUGUCAGAGACCCUCAGAUGCUUCUGAUUAUUUCCCCUCUGCCGGAUGGAGCGUCCCCCAAAAGAAGAUUCGGACACCUCCAGAAAAGGCAACUCAGAGUACUGUACUUGGGGGACUCCUUCAUGCUUAAUCUGAAAGCUAUGAUUUCCACACAGGCAUUAACACAGGUGAAAAACGUAGCCCAGCUAACAGCAUAAAUAACACAACCGCUGUCGGAGGGACCCAGCAAAUCAGUUUCCACUUUAUUAGCCAGUCGGCCAAUCAUGGAUGACCACACAGGGCAUGAUUUCUCCUCAUCCUUAAACAUAAAAUUCUGUUACAGCAAGCAUUUCUUGCUGUCUGCUUGUCAGUAUCACAGGGCACAUGUGUGAAUCAAUAAAAGCAAAAGCCACCUGGCCCUCCGAAGCAGAUCCAGGUGGGCUCUGAGAGAUGUUUUCAUCCAAGUUUGAUAAUCUGGGUCUCUUGUUACAGGGACCAGAGAGCCUUUCCUCCCUUCAAUUCUGAUAAUUGCCUGUGUUGCAGCUGGUUGAUAGAAGCCUUCUGAGGUCUUAAAAGACCACGGCACAGCCAUUCUCAUGCCAGGGAAAGAGAAGACCCUUGUCCUGUGUGCUCUGCAUAGACAGUAGGAGGUGAGUCCUCAUUUGCGGAACUGAGUCAAAAAGAAGCCAGCAAGCCCUCCCCACCAGUGGAGGACAGCCCACCAGCAGACUGUCCAGAAGAGAGGUGCAAAGCCUGUGCUUCCAAAGACAACGGGUCCUCCUGCCUCCAAGAGGAGGGCACUGGAGACAAGAACAGGCAACGACUUUGUGCAGCGCACUCUACCAUCACCCAGGCCUGGCAAGGGCAGGAGAAGCUGUCAUCCAUCACCUGGAAAUCACUUCACCCUGAUGCGAACUCACUCAUGGCUGCUGGGCUUCCAGGCAGCCCGAUCCUAUUAGCAGCCCCUAACCCAGUUGUGGCUGUUCAGUCCCAGCCCAAACUUGUCCAGGCCAAAAGGGACAGCUGAGCCCAGUCAGCUGCAUGACGACUGUCUCCUCUUAGAAAAAUCACUGGCGACGUGAAAUCUGUAGUCUAUUAAUAGAGAGCUCCCACACUCUGACAAUAGCAGCUCACAAAAGGGAGAGAGACAGACAGAGAGAGGAAGCGACUACCAGGGCUCUGAUGGAUGAAGCUAGAAUUGUAUCACAGCUUACUUGGGGCCGCCAGCAUUGAAAAGAUGGAAAGCUUUUGCCUUUCAAAGGCACGAACUUGAGAGUUACUUGUGUUCCACAGCAUUUGUGGGAAGGUGUUUAAAACUCGAGUGUCAAAGACAAAUUGCACAAAGAGGUGUGGCAGGAAGAGUCAGGGGUCUCUUCGGGACUUUUAGGUUAAGUCAGUCCCAGGUGGAUCCCAAACAUCGCCACAGAAUAACGGGACAGGGCGAGGACACGCAGGGGACUGUUCCUGGGUGUGGAGGAGGCCUGGAGGAGCCCAGGACCUUCACACAAAGUUACAGCCCCCUGGAGGCCACACCUGCAUCGGCGCCCUGCGGGCUCUGCACCCUGGACCCUGACCUGACUCUCGCUCCCGAGGGAGGAGUAGUUCAGUAGCUGUCUGUUCUUGGUGACAGAGCCCGUCUGGGACCAGUCCCCUGGUGUCCAUAGCAGAAGCAAGCGGCUGUCCACCCCAGGAGGUGGACGGAAUGCACAAGCUGGGGCUCAGAGAAGGUGCAGCGGCAGAGACACGCUGUCCUUCUGCUCCGCCGCACAGCGCUGCAGGGGUGGGCAGCGCCCCUCCAGGCUGGGCUCCCUGAGCCUGGAGUAUCCUCCCCUCCUUCCUGCUCUGGGCAGGCAGGGCUUGAAAGACCCAUGGUGGGGACCGGCACAGCCAGCACUAGAAAGGCUUCUGUUCCCCGACAGGAGAGAGCAGAGUGACAUGCGAUCCUCCAGAGCGUCCACCCGCCCGGGCUCCUGCCUCUGCCCGCGGGUGAGGGCCUCCUGCAGCCGGACGCUGCCGCGUUUCAGGCUGGCUGUGUGGAAACCCUUGCCCCUCAUGGCGUCUCAGCGGAUGGCGGAGCCACCACACUCAGCACUCCAAGUCUCGCACACGCACACUCGCUGGACACCCGCUCCCAUGCAGUCUGCCAUCAGCCGCAUCUUCUGAGCACUCCUGCUCCUGGCUACACUAGCCGCGCUGAGUGAGGAGGGGGAAAGACGCCUAGAAGCUGCGGGGCAUCUGGAAGGAGAGCCGCUUUGUGGUGUGUGUUUAAAUAGCUCUGCUCCCUAAUUUUGUGCUGCUUAGGGUUAUGUUAAAAUUAGUAUGUACAGGAAAUAGCAGUGAAGAAAGAUGGCCCAGAAACCAUUUUUAGAAUAGUAAGGAGAACACUGGCCUGCUUUUGAUUCUGUGCAUGGGGACAGACUUCAGAGAGAUGGGAACUGGCAGCCUGGAGCUCAGCUGGCUCCAGUCUGCUCCCCGGGACUGCGUCAGGCUUCUCUGAGCUACCGGGCCUGGGGUCCUCCCGUGUCCCACGGGGUCGAAGGGAGGCGGCUUCCUGGGCCGUGCUGUCCACCCUGUGCCGCCUGACGUGGUUGCGCUCUCCCUUCCACCCGCUUCUCCACUCCACCUGCAUGGACCCACUCCAGUGCCCUUGGAAUGGCGUCCUGUCACUGUUUUGUGGGCAAGCGUGCUGUCAUCACAGGAGAGUGUUACCAACUCCCCCGUGAAUGCAACCUGUACAAUAGACACGUGCCAAUAAACAAAUUUUAAAAAGAGAUGAAAACUGAAAAAGAUGGUAUUGUGUUAUGCCUCUCACUUUUUCAUUCAACAAUUCAAACUCUUGUAAAUCUAGCACACAGUUUCUGACCACCCCAGAGCCCCUGCGGGAGAUGCAACCAGAGGCGGAGCCCUAAAGGACUGUGAUUUGUUACAGAUGUGCAAACCGAUGGUGAGAUUUCACAUGAUGUUUCCAGACACGGCUGGCAUACUAGCCAAAGAACUGAGGAGGGAAGACCAGCCCCGACUGUGAGCAACACCAUCCAAUAAACUUGCUGAGAUGGAGCAAAAAGUGAAAGGAAGAGGGAACCUGCCUAUGUGUGCAAAGCUGAUCCUGCCUGAACAGGUACAUCUUCUGCCACUACCUGGGUAGCCCAAACUCUUACUUCUAUCCUUCAGCGCAGACUCACACCAGCGACUCCAGGAAGCUUGCAGGCUUUUUCCUCCUACUGCAGCUGUACUUGGGCCUCUUGUUCUGAAGUUUCCAGAUCCUUAGACCGAGCAGCCACUGGAGCUCUGGCUCUCCAGUGUACAGACGGCCACUGUGGACUCUCGCUCUCUGAUGCUAGAGAGCCCUGACCCGUACGUUGUCUCAUCAAACCACCAUGAAUACACUCUGGGAUCAAUGUACUCUCCAUUCUAUAGACUGGAAUUAAGGCAUGAAAACAUUAGCUUGACUGACACUACACAACUAAGUGGCAAAGCUCAAAUGGAAGCACUGGUCCCCGCCAGAUUCUAAGGCUAUUUCCAGACCACUAGGCCAAAGGAUUGUCCUGGUAACUGCCAAGAGGGAGUGUGGAGGAGGAGGAGGAGGCAGGCAGGCCAGUGUUAAGACAACUGAAUGGGUCCCGGUGAGAGUCCAGAAAUGUCACCAGAUUAAUGGCAGUGGGAAAGUGGAGAGACAUGGCAACACCCAGCUCAGUGUCCAGUUGGAUAUGCAGGUGAGGAAAGAAGGGAACCCAGAUGUUCAGAGGUGGCACUGAAGAAAGAUUUGCCUCCCAUGAAUUCUAGAGAGAUACAACAGUGCUCUGCUAUCUGUGAAGAAGAACUCUGUGGCCAGGUGGAGGUGAGACAGCCCAGAGCACACAGCAGGGCACAAGGAUUGGUGCGGUGGAUGAAUGAACCAACAACCUCAACCGGUGUGUCCCUCCUUCAAGCCCAUGGUCUGAGUCACUCGAAUGGCCGCUGAAUGGGCAGAAAAACUAAUGUGUGCUUUUUAGUUUCUCCACCAGGAGUACACAGGUGAUAAGAAUGAAAGCCUCAGUGCAGUAUAAGGGGGCAAUUUCCAAAUGGAACUGACUGCCCCCCCACACCUCAGCAUGGCCUCACUAACACCGCCACCAGGCUUGGAUUGAUUAGCUGUCUGCCUAGAAGAAAAUGCCCAAGAUUUCAUACUGGUUCCUUGCCACCUAUCUCCACAGCAAAUGCUCCAGUCCCACCUUGGGCCCAAACCCCAGAACCCCAGAGCCUCAGAACCCAGAGCAAUACCUCAGAGGCUUGUGGGAAAUAGGCACCACCCCAAGGAAAGCCAGGGUUAAGGGUGAGCUCAGGAAUCAUCAGGUCUCCCCUCCUUCUCCAGAUGCAGGAGGGACCACAGGCUGCUCCCUAACUCUGGUGGGCAGUGCCCCGCUCUGGUGGACCCCAUCCCUGCAGGCUGCCCUCUGACUCACACUGUGGCUCAGAGACUCCCUGCAGAGGCAGAGGGACCCGCAUCUCCUGCAGGGCCGCCGAGGCCUUGGUCCCUGGUUACUUCCCUUAAUUCUCCACCAGACUAAUGGCUCUGCUUUUACAUCAGUCAGCAGCUUGUUCCUGCAAACAGUAUUUUUGUAAUGCUGGAAUUAAAUACCAUGUCUUCAAAGUGCCCCUUUUCCAGAGACAUAGUUCAGGGUAGGGGCCGGGAUGGAGUUGGGUAGCAGUGCUUUCUGUCCCCAAGGGCCCUUUUCAGGCUUUUGAGCCAGGAUGUCUUUGGAAGUUGCAGAAACCACAGGGCUUGGGCGAAGGGGUAGGAAAACACAUCUAGUACAGGCAGCCCAGACCCAGUGAUGUGAACGAUUGACAGGGAUGGCCUCACACUGGUCCUGGAACCUGCCCCAUUAUGGGGCUGAGGAGCCAAACAAGCAGGUGUGAGCUGCUGGACCCUCCCCGGGGCAGGUGGGCAGAGCUGGAGAGAACAUCAGCCCCUGGCCCUUGGGAAGCCUUGAACCAUGACCAAGAGAGUCUCUCUGUCCCUCUGGGCCCCUAGGCAGAGGUGCACAGGAGGCUUCCAGCCUUGUGUCCUAUAACCGAGAGGCCUGGUUCCAAAACUAAAUGCCACUCCUAGUAUUAGCAGGCUACCGCAAUGGACAUGUGCCUUACCCCAGUUCUUUUGAAACAAUUAUGUUUUUAAGCUAAAUUUAAGACAUGGAGGAGGAGGUGUGGGAGGGCUCUCUAUUGGUAAGAUGGGGAGGGUGCCUUACAUUUUCCUUGUCCUUUACAAAGCACAUUCACAACAGCUCAGCCUCACAAAGGAAUACCUUUGUGAUGACAAUUUGGCAAGACUGCUGACUUGGUCACUUUAACUAGUAUCAUUGCACCUUUUUGUUUAAACUUGUGUGUGGUAGGCUCUCUGAUCCCAGUCCCCGGGUUUCAUCCCCUAACUGCCCCAGGUGUAGUCCAACCUCACUGAAGAUCUGACCCUCCUGCUGUCCCCACUGCCCUCUGAAGCCCAUGAAUAUUUGGGCCAAGCCUCGGUUCCAUCUCCUGGAACUAAGGCUGGACCAUAUAAGAGCACAAAAAGUAGGAGGAAAGCAGUGGCUUCCAUAAUUGACUGAGCACAUAGAAGGAAGAA
Fukomys damarensis (Damara mole-rat) is the source of this 10345-nucleotide long non-coding RNA. RefSeq lists it as uncharacterized. Lineage: Eukaryota; Metazoa; Chordata; Mammalia; Rodentia; Bathyergidae. The transcript is spliced from 3 exons. The record is from RefSeq and is a predicted model, not a curated record.